Molecule: ribosomal RNA, 497 nt
Filed under: uncultured bacterium
Lineage: Bacteria
Description: partial 16S ribosomal RNA
Rfam family: Bacterial small subunit ribosomal RNA
Source: RNAcentral
GAUGAACGCUGGCGGCGUGCCUAAUACAUGCAAGUCGAGCGAACGGACGAGAAGCUUGCUUCUCUGAUGUUAGCGGCGGACGGGUGAGUAACACGUGGAUAACCUACCUAUAAGACUGGGAUAACUUCUGGAAACCGGAGCUAAUACCGGAUAAUAUUUUGAACCGCAUGGUUCAAAAUUGAAAGACGGUCUUGCUGUCACUUAUAGAUGGAUCCGCGCUGCAUUAGCUAGUUGGUAAGGUAACGGCUUACCAAGGCAACGAUGCAUAGCCGACCUGAGAGGGUGAUCGGCGACACUGGAAGUGAGACACGGUCCAGACUCCUACGGGAGGGAGCAGUAGGGAAUCUUACGAAAAGGGCGAAAGCCUGACGGAGCAACGCCGCGUGAGUGAUGAAGGUCUUCGGAUCGUAAAACUCUGUUAUUAGGGAAGAACAUAUGUGUAAGUAACUGUGCACAUCUUGACGGUACCUAAUCAGAAAGCCACGGCUAACUACGUG